GACAUUAAAAAAACAACGGACAAAAAACCUGUCGAAAAGGAUAUACCCCGAAAAAAGUCACAAAAAAUAACAGAAGCAAAUUCUCCAAUAAAACCUACAGCUACACAACCUAAAAAACAAGUUCCCAAAAAUGUGGACCCUUACUACAUGAAUGAAAAUUACGAGCAAUCAGGGACUGUGGUAGGUGUCGACGACUUUGACGCGGAUCUGGAUGCCUCAAUAUUGCGAAAGGCGAUGAAAGGAAUCGG
Octopus sinensis (East Asian common octopus) is the source of this 248-nucleotide long non-coding RNA. RefSeq lists it as uncharacterized. Lineage: Eukaryota; Metazoa; Mollusca; Cephalopoda; Octopoda; Octopodidae. The record is from RefSeq and is a predicted model, not a curated record. The transcript has 3 exons.